GCAGGUCAGAAGGAUGUUCAUUCUGCCAGAUCCAACAGACACUUACUUCAAUGUAUCUGUUGCUCAGGAUGCACAGACAUCCUGGGGUUUUCAUAUGCCUUAGUGUUGCCCGAGGAGCCGAGCGACAGCCGCUUGCUGGCGGUGGCUGUUUGGCAGCCAGCGUGUGAUGCCAGCCCAGCGCCUGUGGGCAUCUUCUCCCCGUUUCUGAAUCAACAUUGUGUCACGGCUGACCUCUGAAAAGCAUUUCCUUUUGAUGAGGAGACAUGGCGCUUACUGUAUCGAAGCUGUACACAGACACGAGAGUCCAUGCCAUCAUUACUGUAAAAAGCACUGAAGCGCUCCACUGCAAAAUUUAACAGUUAAUCGUGCCGUACAUUGGGGCGAUUAUCUUUGUUCUUCUCUUCCUGCUUCAAUGAUUUUAUUAACAGCAAAAAUUUUCAAAACCAUUCCAGUGUUGCAGUUCACAGAUGUGUAAUAUCUGUUACCCUCCCAUCUGGACAAUGAGCUGUCACAGGCAAAAAAUUUAUUAAACCUUGGAUUUGUUUCUUU
Molecule: long non-coding RNA, 549 nt
Organism: Tyto alba (common barn owl)
Lineage: Eukaryota; Metazoa; Chordata; Aves; Strigiformes; Tytonidae
Exons: 2
Source: RefSeq, a predicted model, not a curated record